Molecule: long non-coding RNA, 1022 nt
Filed under: Anser brachyrhynchus (Pink-footed goose)
Lineage: Eukaryota; Metazoa; Chordata; Aves; Anseriformes; Anatidae
Description: lncRNA (ENSABRG00000014578.1)
Source: RNAcentral
AUGGCGGCGGAGCUCGCGGCCGGCAGGGACGCGCCACGGGGGCAUGGAGAGGGGCUGAGCAGCUCCCUCCGCCCCGCGCUCCGCUCCCUCCCCGGCUCCGCACAGCUCCGCGGUCAGCCCCAGGGGAGGGGUUGGAGGCAACGGCUGGCUGGCGGGCGGCCAGGACGCAGCCGGACGCCGCCUCCCCCUCCGCGAGCUCGCCGUGACGCCACGCCACAACUCACCUUCACCGAGCCCCCGGCCGCCAUCUUGCGCAAAGAGGGAGGGGGCGGCGCCGAGCGGCCCGGGGUUGGCUCUCCACGAGUAGGUACUGUCUUCGCCUUAUCUCGGAGCAUUCCUAUAAGCAUUAAAGACAAAGCCGGAGUUCUACGCUUAGCCGGUCCCAUCAUCGUCAGGAUGUCUCCGGCACACACGUCAAACAUCGCUAUCAUCCAGUCUCCUGUCCAUAUUUCACCCAGAUCACAGAGCAUAUUCCUGGAGACGCUCUGGUUUCUUUGACUUCCCCCCAAAGUUCCUCAGUUUGUCAACAGAGGAUGUGAGAAAACAGUACCAUGAAAUCCCUGGAGCAUCCUGUAUAGCAGUGAUGAGAAGCAGAAAAUAGUAAUUGGUCUUGGGUUUCCAGAAAUGAUAAAACAAGACCAAAAAUUCCAUCUGUAACUUAUUCCUAAUUUAUACAAUUUGAUACUGAGUUGAAGAGAUUUGUUUUCAAUUAAAAAGCAAAUAAUUUAAAGACUCAUUAUGGUUUAAAUUAAGUGUGGUCUUUUCAAUAUUCGUAAAUGAUUCUGAGAACAAAGUUGAGCGUGUUUUUGAAAAAAAGUGUUUUCUUUCCGAGGUACAUAUAUAUAGAUAGUACAUGUGUUUAGCUCUCCAAGCUAAACAUAGCUUUAAGUGAGUUAAAUGCUCUAUCAUUAUAUCUUAAUAAUGACUAUUUUCAUAUUUAUGGUAUUCUUGUUGCCACAAAUCUGUACAUGUGAGAACAUUUCAACAAAACAUGUAAACUUCCAUCUUGAGAAAUAUCAGUU